GAUAUAAGAAGUUAGGUUUUUCUAACUUUUCCAAAAAAUCAUUUUUUUUUAUAUCAAAAUCCUAAAAGCAGCUUUUCAAAUAUUUUUACCAAAUAUUUUUUCUCUUUUUCUAAAAGGACUUUUUGCCUUUGAAAAGAUUAGGCAAACACCUAAUUGCGUUUAAGGUUCUAAACUAAGGGAAAAUUAGGGCUUUUAAUUGCCAUUGACUUCAACGAAUCGGGAAAGCGGAGGAACAACAAAAGUCAUCGGCUGGGAAAGGAAAACGAACGUAGAGAGAAAAAAACAACGGCUUGAUGACUGGCUGAUUCGUUGAGCAAGGAAGAGGGGCACGAAAGCAAAGAACGAAGGAAGACGAAAGCUCGCAGGCGCGCUUCGUCGGUUGAUUCGCGAGAGGGAGGAGUCUCUGGGUCGAAGAGACCGAAGGAAAGGAAUAAAGGGGGAGGUGCCGGGGCUGCUGAGUCGUGGGUGAGAAGGGGAAACACCCUCGUUGUUUGAGUGAACCGAAGAAGGGAAGAACGGGGCAGUGAGGCUCGACAGGGAAGGAAGAUGAUGCAAAAAUGUGCUGAAUUUAGUGGGAAAGAAUAAUGAUCGAAAGAGGACUGCUGUUCUCUUGGUUUCAGCUUCCAUUAAGAAAAAAAAUUACAAACACGUUUUCUUUUGUGUGUAAACUCUUUUGUUCUUGUUUUGACAGAAAUCGAUGGAGGGUGAAAAGAUUGGUUCGUUUGGUGUUUGAUUUUUGACAGGGGAAAGAACGAGGGGGAGGAAGGGGGAUGGACAGUCGCUUGUUCUUCUUCUUCUUUGGUUGAAGAUCCAUAGACGGGAAGGAAAGAUAUCAUCUUUUUGAAUAGAUUUCAAUGUACUUUUCUUUGAGUUUGAAGAUCAAAGAAGAUCUGAUCGUAUCAAUUUUAUUUACAUGAUUUUGAUUGUACAGAAUUUGGCUGUGAAGGGAAAGAGUGUUUGUGUGUAAAA
Lactuca sativa (garden lettuce) is the source of this 969-nucleotide long non-coding RNA. RefSeq lists it as uncharacterized. NCBI's taxonomy places the organism in Eukaryota, Viridiplantae, Streptophyta, Magnoliopsida, Asterales, Asteraceae. The record is from RefSeq and is a predicted model, not a curated record.